AAGACUAUACUUUCAGGGAUCAUUUCUAUAGUCGCCGACUCGAGAAAUGUGUUUCUAAAGUGACUGGUCUCGCCGACCACGAUGAAGAGGCAGCGGCACCCUUUCCUGAGCGCGAAGCGGGCGCGGAGAAGCGACUGAGUUCGCACGCUCCCCGCCUUUGAUGACCGUUCACUGUCUCCCCCCGGGGGGGGGACGAUGAGGGGAAGGGUGUGAUCAGAGUGGU
Small nucleolar RNA from Xiphias gladius (swordfish), 223 nucleotides. RefSeq annotates it as small nucleolar RNA U3. NCBI's taxonomy places the organism in Eukaryota, Metazoa, Chordata, Actinopteri, Istiophoriformes, Xiphiidae. The transcript has a single exon. The record is from RefSeq and is a predicted model, not a curated record.